GCCUUCGUAGUGUAACGGUAGCACACUCGGCGUGUAUUCGAGAGGUCCAGGUUCGAGUCCCAGCGAGGGCA
This 71-nucleotide transfer RNA is filed under the name Stegodyphus mimosarum. It matches the Rfam family "tRNA". From Rfam's summary of the family: Transfer RNA (tRNA) molecules are approximately 80 nucleotides in length. Lineage: Eukaryota; Metazoa; Arthropoda; Arachnida; Araneae; Eresidae. The record is from Rfam by way of RNAcentral.